AGCUGGGGAGCGGCUGCGGGCGCGAGGCCUGAGGAUGAUCUUUCCUGUCGUCCGCUACGCGCUCCGGUGGCUGCGACGGCCCGAAGACCGUGCCUUUUCCCGCGCCGCCAUGGAGGUGGCCCUCCGAGGCGUGCGGAAAGUCCUCUGUGUGGCCGAAAAAAACGACGCGGCCAAGGGGAUCGCCGACCUGCUGUCAAACGGUCGCAUGAAGCGGAGAGAAGGACUUUCAAAAUUCAACAAGAUCUAUGAAUUUGAUUAUCACCUGUAUGGCCAGGUAGGUGCUAACAUAUUUCCGUCAUAAGCAAGAGAAAAGUAGUCAGCCUCGUCAUAUGUAGAAUAUGUCACUGUCUUAAGAAUAACAACUGUUAACAACCUAAAGGUUCCUGGAUAUGGGGUGAUCACUUUAUAAUUUAUGAGGAGUUCUCUUUUUAAUAAAAUAUGGUCCCAUCUCAGCUCUUCAUUGC
This 464-nucleotide small RNA is filed under the name Pongo abelii (Sumatran orangutan). Its description in RNAcentral is "retained intron". Lineage: Eukaryota; Metazoa; Chordata; Mammalia; Primates; Hominidae. The record is from RNAcentral.